Molecule: long non-coding RNA, 206 nt
Filed under: Brassica napus (rape)
Lineage: Eukaryota; Viridiplantae; Streptophyta; Magnoliopsida; Brassicales; Brassicaceae
Description: long non-coding RNA (BNAP_LNC002894)
Source: RNAcentral
GGUUUAACUUCGGUUUGGUUGGUUCGGUUCGGUUCGGUUUGGGUUUUUUGUCCACCCCCUGCAUCUAGCUCCCUCUGUAAUGGCUCUAGAUUUUUUUUUUUUUUUGAACUUUAGUGGCUCUUGAUGUUUAAAAUAUAUUUUCCAACUUAUAAUUUUGAAUUUUGUAGUUAAUUUUAGUAUUGUGUUUUAAGUAUUUUAUGUUUCUU